UACGAAGGGGGCUAGCGUUGCUCGGAAUCACUGGGCGUAAAGGGCGCGUAGGCGGAUCUUUAAGUCGGGGGUGAAAGCCUGAGGCUCAACCUCAGAAUUGCCUUCGAUACUGGAGAUCUUGAGACCGGAAGAGGUGAGUGGAACUGCGAGUGUAGAGGUGAAAUUCGUAGAUAUUCGCAAGAACACCAGUGGCGAAGGCGGCUCACUGGUCCGGUUCUGACGCUGAGGCGCGAAAGCUAGGGGAGCAAACAGG
Molecule: ribosomal RNA, 253 nt
Filed under: uncultured bacterium
Lineage: Bacteria
Description: partial 16S ribosomal RNA
Rfam family: Bacterial small subunit ribosomal RNA
Source: RNAcentral